UCGGAUUGCAGGCUGCAACCCGCCUGCAUGAAGUUGGAAUCGCUAGUAAUCGCGGAUCAGCAUGCCGCGGUGAAUACGUUCCCGGGCCUUGUACACACCGCCCGUCACACCAUGAGAGUCGGGAACACCCGAAGUCCGUAGCCUAACCGCAAGGGGGGCGCGGCCGAAGGUGGGUUCGAUAAUUGGGGUGAAGUCGUAACAAGGUACC
This 208-nucleotide ribosomal RNA is filed under the name uncultured bacterium. RNAcentral describes it as "partial 16S ribosomal RNA". It matches the Rfam family "Bacterial small subunit ribosomal RNA", at positions 1293 to 1500 of the family's 1533-position model. The record is from RNAcentral.